UACGUAGGGUGCAAGCGUUAAUCGGAAUUACUGGGCGUAAAGCGUGCGCAGGCGGUUUUGCAAGUCUGUCGUGAAAUCCCCCGGGCUCAACCUGGGAAUUGCGAUGGAGACUGCAAGGCUAGAAUCUGGCAGAGGGGGGGUAGAAUUCCACGUGUAGCAGUGAAAUGCGUAGAGAUGUGGAGGAACACCGAUGGCGAAGGCAGCCCCCCUGGGUCAAGAUUGACGCUCAUGCACGAA
This 237-nucleotide ribosomal RNA is filed under the name uncultured bacterium. RNAcentral describes it as "partial 16S ribosomal RNA". It matches the Rfam family "Bacterial small subunit ribosomal RNA", at positions 524 to 757 of the family's 1533-position model. The record is from RNAcentral.